GUGGUGGCUCAGUGGUAGAGUGCUUGCCUAGCAUGUGUGAGGCACUGGGUUUGAUUCUCAGCACCACA
This 68-nucleotide transfer RNA is filed under the name Marmota marmota marmota (Alpine marmot). It matches the Rfam family "tRNA". Rfam says of the family: Transfer RNA (tRNA) molecules are approximately 80 nucleotides in length. Their secondary structure includes four short double-helical elements and three loops (D, anti-codon, and T loops). Lineage: Eukaryota; Metazoa; Chordata; Mammalia; Rodentia; Sciuridae. RNAcentral also lists the same sequence under 3 other names. The record is from Rfam by way of RNAcentral.